RNAcentral lists this long non-coding RNA (785 nucleotides) under Arabidopsis thaliana (thale cress). Its description in RNAcentral is "long non-coding RNA (ATHA_LNC000450)". Lineage: Eukaryota; Viridiplantae; Streptophyta; Magnoliopsida; Brassicales; Brassicaceae. The record is from RNAcentral.
AAAGAAAUGGUCGAGGAGACUGCGCUUCGCUUCUCGGACUUGGCAGUAUACGAUGGACUUGGGGAUUGAAUUCCGCAGGCCAGCACAGACCAUGUUCACGUAAGACAAAACAUUGGAUCCUGUUGCCAAAUGUCUAAAAUUUGUGAGAUAUACGGUACCAGAUAAUUAUUUAUUUAUAUGGGUUAACCUUACCGAUUCGUCUGAGAUAGGAAUCGUUGUAGCGGUCGAAAAUGGAGUGUGUGGGGUUACCACCCUUCUCAACAUCCUGGGGAAGUUUCCUGAAGAAAUCAACAGUGAGGUAACUGCACUCCAUGUCAACCAGCUGCAGUGUUGCUUUCUUACUUCCUUCCCGCAUUUUAUCCAGCGACUCUAUCGCCGCAUUUGUCACCUCCACUCUCAGAGCUGGGUAUUGUUUUAGUUCCUGCACAUGUUCAAACCGUCUAUAACAUUGUACAAAAGUACUAGUUGUUGGAGAUAUAUAUAUAUAUAUAUAUAUUACUAAAAGAAAAAAGAACGUACCACAGUUUCAUUCACAGACUUGUGAACCAGAUCCUUUAAGAUAGCAUGAACCUAAUAUUUAACCAUAGAAAAAAAAAAAAACGGAGAGAGAAGCUUAUUGUUUUGUGUUAGGUUUUUGAUACAUCUUUUUAGAGAUGAAAGUAAAGAGUUCAUACGGUGUCAACAGAUGCUUCAGCAGGGCCUCUGAUGGAGACAAUAGAAGACUCAAUGAGACGACGGUAACCUUGCUCAGGAGCAAUCAAGUGAGGCUGGUAACCAUCAGCCUC